UCCCAGGGGGGACGGGGGGGACACGACCCCCCCAUCCUGGGGAAAAUAUGAUUUGUCCCCCCCAAUAUAUCACUGUAAACAUAACUAUGUAAUUUCAAUAAUAUUAAUAAUACGCAAUGAAAGCACUUGUACUGAUUAUAGACACUUAAUAGCGCGUUUUUAAAUUUCACAAGAUUGCGACCCCCCCGCCCUUUGCCUCACAAUGGUUUGAUCCACUGCCAGUUCUUUAGCUGGCAAGGUAAUAGAGGGCUCGUAUCUACUGUCCGAAAGGCACUCAAUGUACGUAACUGACGUGAGGCAGAGCAGGCAACAGAUGGCACACAGACAGCAGAGCUGGGGACAGAUAUGCAGGGACAGACUGGCAGAGACAGGGAGUCUCAGGAGACAGACUGUGAGUCAGUGAGGGUGGUGAAAGGGAAAGAGCCAAGGAGAGAGACUUGAGGACAGUGUCACAGCCACGGCAGGACCAGGUGUCACCCUUGUUGCCAGCAGCACCAGUAUAGGGGACAGUGGCACAGCAUCGUCCAGUUACCUCAGUGAUGACACAAAACCAUAUCAGCCACACCCACAAUUUAUAGAACCGCAAACGUUUCAAGAGAGAGGAACACUGCACUGAUAAGGAACAUUGCUAUAACUAUUAUUAUUAGUAGUAUUAUAAUGAUUUAAACAAGUUGGGACAACCCUUCAGUUAACUACUGUACCUAACAAUUAUCCAGUAGUAGUGAUUAUGGUCCCUCAAUAUACAUUUAACAUAUUACAACAUAGUCUAUGUGUUACAGCACUACUUUUGGUGUCCCCCUCAGGAAUUGCUCCUGAGAAAAUUUCAUGUAAUUGUCCCCUCCAAGGUUGAUAUCAGA
Salvelinus fontinalis (brook trout) is the source of this 857-nucleotide long non-coding RNA. RefSeq lists it as uncharacterized. The record is from RefSeq and is a predicted model, not a curated record. The transcript has 3 exons. Lineage: Eukaryota; Metazoa; Chordata; Actinopteri; Salmoniformes; Salmonidae.